GACGUCGUAGUGUAAUGGCAGCACACCUGCCGAGUAUGGGACUACCACCAAUGAAAGCAGGAAGAGCGGGUUCGAUUCCCGACGACGUCU
This 90-nucleotide transfer RNA is filed under the name Rhodospirillaceae bacterium. Its description in RNAcentral is "tRNA-OTHER". It matches the Rfam family "tRNA". Rfam says of the family: Transfer RNA (tRNA) molecules are approximately 80 nucleotides in length. Their secondary structure includes four short double-helical elements and three loops (D, anti-codon, and T loops). The record is from RNAcentral. Lineage: Bacteria; Pseudomonadati; Pseudomonadota; Alphaproteobacteria; Rhodospirillales; Rhodospirillaceae.